RNAcentral lists this long non-coding RNA (733 nucleotides) under Equus caballus (horse). RNAcentral's name for it is "lncRNA (ENSECAG00000053445.1)". The record is from RNAcentral. Lineage: Eukaryota; Metazoa; Chordata; Mammalia; Perissodactyla; Equidae.
CGGGCUGCUGAGAUGGAGCACUCCAAACUUAACCACCAGGCCACAGGGCCGGCCUCCAACUCUUUUAAUCUGUUAAAGGAUGUCCAUCAAAAAUCCACAAAACUCAAUAUGCGUGGUUUUUAAAGAAAGUCGACCAUGGAAACUACACUGAGAAUGAACAAAGCUUGCCCUUGCUGAACAGCUGCUGUCUCUGUCCCCGAGACCAUGAACAACAGACAAGACCGGACAGAGGCACUUGCUGAGGGAACCUACAAACUACAGUGACCUUCCCAGGACAGUGGGUCUACAAAGUCCUGCUCACAAAAAACACAUUCUCGUUAUCAACUGGCCUGUGUGAGAGCAAGGCGUGCAGCCACCAUUGCUCCCUCCAGACAGACAGCGAGGAGAUGGGGCUGCUGAGUGUCUGUGGUGUCUAGGGUCGCUCCUCACCCCAAAGAGGCAAUGAUUUCAGGAAGCGAAGGCUCUCAUCGCGGGCUGACUGAUGACAGGGUUUGGAAUGGAGGGUCUUGUGGACAGUUUGUGAAAACUCUCCCAAGGAGCUUACGAGUUUCUUCCACGUCUAAAAGGCCUGUUAACACUGAGCCACAUGAAAAAAUAAUACUCUGGAGCGGUUUUCCCCCCUCCAUGAUGUGAUUAACAUCUGAAACUACUCAAAUUAUACUCCAAUGAGGAAAACUUCAACAAGAAAAGCUCUCCUCAACAUUAAAAGAGUCUACUUGUUUUGUAAUCUGCA